CAGAGGAGGAGGCGCGCGACAGGGGAUCAGCUUCGAACUUCCUCCUCUGAUCGCCUACCACCUUCUCCGCCGAAAGCGGUCACCAGUAGGUCAAGGGAUUUUCCUUCCUCCGGUGAUCGUGCAUUCACCUUCCCUCCAUCAGCGCAAUCCACCGGGGCUUCAUCUUCCGUGAUCCAUCGCCAUAUCAACCUUCACCAUCGCCGAACAUCCGCUAUCACGAGAGAAGGGGUUACCCACUUCUUGGGAUUUUACAGUUUGUCCUAACCCUAAUUCUACAUCACCAAUUCUUGGAUCCAACAGCAACUCUGUUCGCAUUCAUUCCUAUCAUCUCCAAAGCUGAUCCUCCAUCCUUGGCCACUUCCGAUUUGCUUCUCCCUUACAGAUCCGAUUCGGCACAAGAUUGGGAUGCCCUAGCUUGGUUGUAUGAGAACUCACAUGGAUAAUUUACUGAGUCGUAUUCAGCAUAUCAGAGCCCACGGGGAUUUCAGGAUGAUUAUAUUCCUACUUGGUCACAACCAUGCCAACAAGUCGAGCCAACUUACUAGGAGCAAUCCAAGACUAUAGCAAAGAAGUUUCUGCCCUCAAUCAAAUAAAAACUUCAAUGCAAAAAAUAGAUGAGCUCUUGUAGCAAAAUGAAGCACACAUGCUCUAGUCCCGGUAAAGAAAUGAAGUGUCAUUACAGAAUUGCCAAAUACAGUUGGAUCAAAUUGCAAUAUCUAUUAGACAGCUACAAGCGCAAGGCUCCAGUCAAUUCCACUCAGAGAUCAUUCCUUAUGGGAUUGACGUGUCUUAGGAGAUGGAUUGUGAAGUUUGUAGUAAUAUUGUCUCUGAGUCUACAACUCUAUAUGAUUCCUCUACUUGCAUUGUGAUAUUGUAGUUCUAAAUGAUCCUUACUCUGAUAUUAUUGUUGUUGCAGAUUCUGUUUGCAAAAUUUUUAUUGACACUGUUGAUGCUGCAGGAGUAGAUUUGGUUGAUGAUGUAGGUGUUGUUGAUGAUGAUGGGGAGCUAGUUGAGCAUGACUAUGCUUUUGUUGAUGGGGAGAGUGUAGGAACUUUUGUUGUGGAGCCAGAGCCCCAAGAAUCAUUUCCUUUAGUUGUAUUACCACUAGAGCUAGAGCUUUUACCUGAACAGGAGGAUGCCAUAUUCAUAUCUUCAGAAACUCCAGGGAUUGACAUUAUUCCAUCUUUUUCAUACCCCGCAUGCGUACGGGAAGUGUUGUCUUUUCUUGUCUUUGUUCUAAAGUGGGUGCUUAAAUUGAACCGUCUCAAACCUCCAAGAAUAACUUUCAAAGAGCACAAGGUGAAGGGAGCGGUCAUGACUUCAAUUUAUAGCAUUCCACUUUCAUAAUGGCUCCUAUACCUAAACCGUCUUCAACCACCUAGAGGUACCAUCGAGGAGACAUCUGGAGGGAGCGACAUUUAUUGACACUGAUCUCUUGAGCAUAGCUCUCUCCUCCACAAGGACCAUCCAUCCCACUACCGGUGUGGAUAUUGCUCUUAAAUCGUCUUCAACUACCAAGAAUAAAGGAGAGUUCGUUCUUUGUUUUUCUUGUUACGUUAUACAUUUCUUUACUUCAUACUUUGUUUUCACAUUUUUCUUUCAUACUUUGCACUUUGUUUGGUCUAUACUUCGUUUGGUUUGAAUAAAAAUCUCCAUGUGUUUUCUUUGUAAUGCCUUGAGAAUCGUAAAAGUUAUUUAAGCUUGACUAUCAAAUUUUAGGUCACUUGACACGAUUGAAUGCUUCACUUGCAUACUAUUGGUUUGUGUGGUGAUGGAUUCUAUUUUGAUUAAUUGAGUUUGAUUGUCAAAUUACUUAGAGAGGACUACUUCAAGCCUAUACUUUAUUCACUUUUUGUGUGUUAUGCACUCAUGACAAUUUAACUCUAGAACUUGUUUUGCUCUUUUUGAAAUCACAAUAUCAUAUAUUUGGAUGAACAUGAUGAAGGAUAUAUCUUUCCUAUUUUUUGAUUUCUUUUCCUUCCAAACUCUAGUUGAAAAACUCAACAAAAAUGUGCCUUUUGUCACCUUGCUUUGUCAUCCUUCUAUUGAGAGUUUUGGUUGAUUAUCUUGAUGACUUAGAUUGUUGGAUGACAGACAAGACUUUAAGUGCGGCGGAUGUUAUGUGUUGGAAGUUUAUGGAGCUAUACAUUGAUUAGAAAUUCUGAAAUUGUGGAAUUUUGGCAAGUGUCCUAAGCUUACUUAGAGAACUUGAAGAGACAAUUACUUUUAGUUUGAGAGGGUUGUUUGAAGCAAAUACCAGCUGGUUUGAAUGUGCAGUUUUGGCAUGCUGUAAAGAAAUGCUGUGAAAAUGUGUUUUUGAGCCAUCAGUUAUUCAAAUGCUGUUAAAAAAAAAUCAGAUCCUAGGAGGGAAGUAAGUGUGGUGUUUAGAUCAAAUUAUAGAAUGGGAACUUGAUGUAUAAGUUGUUCAAAUUAUUAAUCAGCAUUUGAAUUAUGUUACCGAAUUUGUUAAGCUGAAACUAUUUUCCUACUCUUAAUGUUUAGUUGGUGUGUGGGUGCUGAGUUUUUAUUUAAGUGUGGUUUUGUAACCAUUGAAGUUCAUAAAAAUUAAUACAUAGUUAGGAACUGGCACAUUAGAUAGAAGCUUGGUGUUGAGUAGUCCAAGGGCUUGAAAGAAAAUUCAAACUUAAACUGUUGUGCCAGAAUUUCUUGUAAUCCCUUGUAUAAUGAUUUCUGAAUUUUUAAGGGGUAUGUAUCAAGUUAAUCAUGUGUUUGCCAAACCCUAUUGCAGUUUUAUUCUAAAGAUAACUUCAGAAUAAGUACAUUCCCUGUUGUGGUCAUUUGGUAUUCUUUCUGACCUUAUCCAAAUUUCCAGAAUUCGGAUCAAGAGAAGGAAGGAAAACAAAGGGUUGCAGAAUCUGGAGUAGGAUGAUGAAUAGAGUGAAGUGUAUGAGAUGAAUGGCUGCAGUAAUUAGAGAAUGGUGUGGCUGCUAUGAGCAACUCAUUCAAUUGUGGCUUUUGUCAUUUCUGUAUUAACUAGAAUCUUCAAAUCUAAACAAGAGCUUCUGCUGAAUCUGAAUUUUCAAGGCCUGUUUCCUUGGACAGAUUUCUGAAAAUUGGAAAAGAAAACCAGAGAAUGCAACUCCAGUGAGUUGAUUUUUGAAACUGCCUAAUUGAUUCCUGAAACUUCAUUGUGCAAAUUGUCAAGUUACUGAACUCAAAUUCAAUUCGAUUGCUGAACCACCAAAGAUACACAUCAAAUUAGAGAAGAGUUUAAGGACAUAGAAGUCAUAAUUUCCUUUUGGCAACUUAAAAUUUUGAGGUCUUGCUGAAUUCUGAAUUCUGAAGAUCAGAAUCUGGAAUUUGAGGGAACAGGAGUUCAUAGAUUAGCCCAAUUCUGGAUUUUUGCUGAAAGAAAAAAGAUCAAGAUGCAGCCAAUACAUAAAUCCAAAUUACUGCUAAGGAAUUGCUGAAAUUGCUGAAACAGAAUUCUAAAAAAACUGUAAACUUGUUUGCGUGCCAAGUUGAAUUGCAGUUCCUAAUCAGUGACAACCUCAAGUGAGGUUUCUAUCCUUCCAUUGUUAGUUGGUGUUACAAUCUCUCCAAUCCUGCCAAGUGCUCAAAACCUGUAAUUUGCUGAAUGCUGAUUCUGAAACUGAAGUGCUGAAAAAUCAGAGCUUAGUUUCAAUUCUGAAAUUUCUUUUUAAGCAGGAUUUCUGAUUCUGGUUUGAAGACAUGAAUUGCAGAAAUUAAUUCCAUCUUAGAGACUCCUAGCUGAUGCUUUUGGGGAUGGAUUGAGUUGUUUUUACCUGAAUGCUACAUCAGUUUAGUAGGACAGUUUGAGAGCAUUUCCAAGUCCUGUUGUGGCUGUUAGCUCUGGAUGAUGCUGCUGAAAAAUGUCCACAACCAUUCUUAUCUCAGAAACUUAAAAAAAACUGUACAAGAGUUGGAAAGUCUGUCGAAAGCAGAUGGAAUGAUGCUAGAUCUUGUUGCUGGAAAAGGUUUCAAAGAAACAGGAAGUUUCAGGGAUUGCUGAAAGCUGAAGAAGUUGCUAAAUUCUAAUCCUUAACUUUCUGAAUUGAUGUUGCUGUAUUUCCAGAAAUGGUUUCUGAAACUCAGUCCAGAAACUGAAAUUUUCUGCUGUAAUUCUGCAUUUGUUGGGAGCCACAUCAUUCUCAGUUGGUGUGGAGUAGCCAUGAACCUGAAAGAGAAUUUAAGCUGCUGUGUAGGAAUUUAUCAAAGUUGCUGAUUUCGGAUGUUGCUGGAAAUAAUUGCCCACAGCAGGUUGUAAUUCAAGGGCUGCUGAUUGGUAUAGUUAUUAAACCUUGUUUUGGUCCUUUACUUAUGCAAUAUGAAUGCAAUCAUUAAAGAUGUUCAGAUAACAAGUGCCAACUGCAGGGAAGAAAAGCUAAAAAUUUUCUUGAAUUUGAGUUUUCAGGCCAGUUUCUGAAUUCUGGGAAGCUAGUUGUUGUUGUUGAUAAUUGAGAAACCCUUUGAAUGUUAAUUUGAGUACCUAAAAUCUGUGAUGAUCCUUGAAUCUUCCUCCCAAUGAAGUGUAUAUGAUAGACAAGGAAUCAUGAGCUACUGGAAUUGAAAAUGCAAGAGACUGCAAUACAGAAAAAUUUGAAGAAACUGUUGCGUAUCAAAUUUGUUUGCAGGGUUCUAAUCAGUGAGAAAUCCAUGUGGAGUUUUUAAUCUUUUAUUGUCAUUUGGUGUCCAACUCUUCUCAAGUUCCUUAUGAACAAAAAUUUGAAACUUGCCAGGAAUUAGAGUUCUGAAACUAACACUGAAAACUGAUUUCUGAAGUUGAAGCUAUUGGGAAGGAGAAAUUCAAGAGAGGGAGUUGCUGAAAUAAUCCAGCUGUUGGAUUGUCACAAACAUGUGAAACCGGCUCAGUAGAAGUGAACUCUGAAGUAACAGAGAAUUCAAUCAGACUUAUACAUUACUUCAGAGGAAGAAAUAAGAAUCAGUAACACUCAAGCGCAGGAAUUGAGAAGUUUUAUCAAGCACUUUGAUGCAGGGAGGUUACUGAAUUCUUUGAUGUUAUUGAUCAACUUCUGAUUGCCAAUCUUGAGCAGAGACUGAUGUAGGAGGAAUAUCCAGUGAACUAAUUGUAAUUACUGAAUCACUCAUACAAAUCAAAGAGUUUCAUUCAAGAAUUCUGAUUUCUGAAGCUGGUUUUUGAGCUAUUGCAAUUCAGGGAUUGAGAAUUGAGAAGCCUCUUCUCAAAUUGUUGUUGUUGAUUCACUCCAAUCUUAACUGGUCCUUCACCCAUACAAUUAAGAGAGAUGACAAAUAGAUUAACUAACAGUAAACUCAGGAUUUAUUCAAAGAGUUCUGAAUCUGUGUCAGAAGGAAAAAAAAAACCUGUUUGAUACCAAAUCCAAGUGCUGUUAUUUCAGUACUAAAUGGGAUUCAUUGCUGAGCUAAAUUCUCCAUGAACUCAGCUGUAAUCACCUGGAAAUCAGAAUUCUGAAACUCAAUCCAGAAUUGCAGAAGUGCUUUGAGCUUGAGAAAUCCUGCUUGUCAAAGUAAUGAAACUGGCUUCUGCAAUUCCAAUUGAAGAUGUAUUCUGAAAAAACUGAAUUGAAUCUGUUACCUCACUUUAUCUCUGAAUUGUUGACAUUCAGCUUAGGAGAUUCACAUCAAAUUAAGAGGAUCUUGGAGGGCAGUAGGGCACUUCAAAGAAACUUGAUAGGAUUUCAAAGAAAUGAUGAAAGUUUAAUGGUGGAAUAAGGAAGUCUUAGAAGGGUUAAAAAUCUGAAGUUCAGGGGUUGGUAUAUCUUGAAUGAAUGUGAUUAAUUUGACAAGGAAACUAGAAAACCCCCAAAUAGGGAAACUUCCUGCCAGUUUCAUUUUUGACACCAUUAAAACAUAGCGAGUGGUGGUUAAAGAAUCUUCAUUGGAGUUGGUUGAUACAGACCAAAGCUCAACAAGACACAUUCGUUUUAUAUAUAUUAAUUGGUCAACUCAUGAGGCGAUCAAAGAAUCAUGGACUUGAGACCAAGCUCUGAGAUAAUCUGAAUUGUCCAUCCAAGACCUGAGGCAAUCUUAACUAUUCAUUAAAGGUCUGGUCUAUCCAAAUCAAGGAAGAAUAGAUCAUAGUCAUAGAUCAAGAUCUGGAACCUUGCAUCGAGAUUUGAACUCAUCCCAACCCUUAGAUCAAAUCUUAGUUGAUGAGAACCGUUUAUCCAAAUCUGGAGCAGUUCAAAUGAGAAGCCAUUUUCGAUCGUCAUUUUGCUACAGCAGAUCGCGUCAAAAAUAGAGGAGGCGCGCGACAGGGGAUCAUCUUCGAACUUCCUUCUCCGAUCGCCGGCCAGUACCGUCUCCAUCAACAACAGUCAUCAUGAGGUUAAGGGCUUUUCCUUCCUCCUGUGAUUGUGCAUUCACCUUCCCUCCGUUAGUGCAAUCCACCGGGGCUUCUUCUUCCACGAUUCAUCGCCAUAUCAACCUUCAUCGUCACCGAUCAUCUGCUAUCACGAGUGAAGGGGUUACCAAGUUUUUGGGAUUUUCCAGCUUGUUCUAAUCCUAAUUCUACUUCCCCAAUGCUUAGAUCCAACAGCAACUCUGUUCGCAUUCAUUCCGAUAAUCUCCAAAGCCGAUCCUCCAUCCUUGGCCACUGUCGAUUUGCUUCUCCCUUACAGAUCCAAUACGACACAAAGAUUGGGAUGCCCUAGCUUGGUUGUAAGCUCUAUUUCGAGUCCUAGAUUCAUUCAUUGUUGGUUGUAGAUGUAGGAUCGUAGAUUCCUUCCAUGUUAGCAAUUUUGAUGGAUGCACGUUAUGUUUCAAUUGUCAUUUACACCGGAUUUGAAUUUGGUUUAGUUCUUACUUAAUGUAAUAGAUGUUAGU
Zingiber officinale is the source of this 6807-nucleotide long non-coding RNA. RefSeq lists it as uncharacterized. The transcript has 4 exons. The record is from RefSeq and is a predicted model, not a curated record. NCBI's taxonomy places the organism in Eukaryota, Viridiplantae, Streptophyta, Magnoliopsida, Zingiberales, Zingiberaceae.